This 451-nucleotide ribosomal RNA is filed under the name uncultured bacterium. Its description in RNAcentral is "bacterial SSU rRNA". It matches the Rfam family "Bacterial small subunit ribosomal RNA", at positions 29 to 524 of the family's 1533-position model. The record is from RNAcentral.
AGCGAACGCUGGCGGCAGGCUUAACACAUGCAAGUCGAGCGGGCGUAGCAAUACGUCAGCGGCAGACGGGUGAGUAACGCGUGGGAACGUACCUUUUGGUUCGGAACAACACAGGGAAACUUGUGCUAAUACCGGAUAAGCCCUUACGGGGAAAGAUUUAUCGCCGAAAGAUCGGCCCGCGUCUGAUUAGCUAGUUGGUGAGGUAACGGCUCACCAAGGCGACGAUCAGUAGCUGGUCUGAGAGGAUGAUCAGCCACAUUGGGACUGAGACACGGCCCAAACUCCUACGGGAGGCAGCAGUGGGGAAUAUUGGACAAUGGGCGCAAGCCUGAUCCAGCCAUGCCGCGUGAGUGAUGAAGGCCCUAGGGUUGUAAAGCUCUUUGUGCGGGAAGAUAAUGACGGUACCGCAAGAAUAAGCCCCGGCUAACUUCGUGCCAGCAGCCGCGGUAAU